CCGAGGGAGACCAGGAAGAUCUGCAUGGUGGGAAGGACCUGAUGAUACAGAGGUAAGUGCUUUAUAAAGCACUCAAUUUCUACUCAGAAAUUUUUGAUGGCCUUAAGUUCCUCUACUCGUUUCUAUCCUUCCUACUCACUGUCCUCCCGGAAUCCACUACCGAUUUUCUAUUUCUUGCCUCGUAUUGUCUGACUGGCUCACUUGGAUUUAUCCUCACGGAGUCUGGAUUUUCUACCCGGGCUCACCUCCGUCCCUCCAUAUUUGUCCUCCACUUUCACAGAUCCCUGGGAGAAAUGCCCGGCCGCCAUCUUGGGUCAUCGAU
This 322-nucleotide long non-coding RNA is filed under the name Homo sapiens (human). RNAcentral describes it as "prostate cancer associated 3". The record is from RNAcentral. Lineage: Eukaryota; Metazoa; Chordata; Mammalia; Primates; Hominidae.